RNAcentral lists this ribosomal RNA (345 nucleotides) under uncultured bacterium. Its description in RNAcentral is "bacterial SSU rRNA". It matches the Rfam family "Bacterial small subunit ribosomal RNA", at positions 32 to 352 of the family's 1533-position model. The record is from RNAcentral.
AAUCAACGCUGGCGGCGUGCCUCAGACAUGCAAGUCGAACGCGAAAGGUUCCUUCGGGAGCCGAGUAGAGUGGCGCUCGGGUGAGUAACACGUAGGUAAUUUGCCUUUGGGUGGGGAAUAACAAUCGGAAACGGUUGCUAAUACCGCAUAAUGCAGCGGCUCGACAUCGAGACAGUUGUUAAAGCGGGGGAGUCCUUCGGGACCUCGCGCCUAAAGAAGAAGCCUGCGGCGGAUUAGCUAGUUGGUGAGGUAAUGGCUCACCAAGGCGACGAUCCGUAACCGGCCUGAGAGGGCGGACGGUCACACUGACACUUAAAUACGGGUCAGACUCCUACGGGAGGCAGC